Molecule: ribosomal RNA, 253 nt
Filed under: uncultured bacterium
Lineage: Bacteria
Description: partial 16S ribosomal RNA
Rfam family: Bacterial small subunit ribosomal RNA
Source: RNAcentral
UACGUAGGGGGCUAGCGUUGUCCGGAAUAAUUGGGAGUAAAGAGUGUGUAGGCGGCUAGGUAAGUAAGAUGUGAAAGUCCAGGGCUCAACCCUGGAAUGCCAGUGGAAACUGUCGAGCUAGAGUCCGGAAGAGGCGAGUGGAAUUCCUGGUGUAGCGGUGAAAUGCGCAGAUAUCAGGAGGAACACCAAUGGCGAAGGCAGCUCGCUGGGACGGUACUGACGCUGAGACGCGAAAGCGUGGGGAGCAAACAGG